AUUCGAUCCCCUCAGUUGUAAGCUGGCCAAAAACUGAAGGUCUCCUAGGAAUGGGAAAACAGAUACAAGGUGCAUGGCUUGGAUCCGAAGAAGGGUUGUUUUUCAUGGACUGGCCUUGAGGAAAUGUCUUCUUGGUCUCUUACUUGGAAUGCACAUAUUACUGUCAGCUGGUUUUGAUUAGGGAUGGCAAUGAGGCGGUGCA
This 202-nucleotide unclassified non-coding RNA is filed under the name Hevea brasiliensis (rubber tree). Lineage: Eukaryota; Viridiplantae; Streptophyta; Magnoliopsida; Malpighiales; Euphorbiaceae. The record is from RNAcentral.